This 460-nucleotide ribosomal RNA is filed under the name uncultured bacterium. RNAcentral's name for it is "partial 16S ribosomal RNA". It matches the Rfam family "Bacterial small subunit ribosomal RNA", at positions 338 to 795 of the family's 1533-position model. The record is from RNAcentral.
CCUACGGGAGGCAGCAGUGAGGAAUAUUGGUCAAUGGACGAGAGUCUGAACCAGCCAAGUAGCGUGAAGGAUGACUGCCCUAUGGGUUGUAAACUUCUUUUAUAUGGGAAUAAAACGUUCCACGUGUGGGAUUUUGUAUGUACCAUAUGAAUAAGGAUCGGCUAACUACGUGCCAGCAGCCGCGGUAAUACGGAGGAUCCGAGCGUUAUCCGGAUUUAUUGGGUUUAAAGUGAGCGUAGGUGGAUUGUUAAGUCAGUUGUGAAAGUUUGCGGCUCAACCGUAAAAUUGCAGUUGAAACUGGCAGUCUUGAGUACAGUAGAGGUGGGCGGAAUUCGUGGUGUAGCGGUGAAAUGCUUAGAUAUCACGAAGAACUCCGAUUGCGAAGGCAGUUCACUGGACUGCAACUGACACUGAGGCUCGAAAGUGUGGGUAUCAAACAGGAUUAGAUACCCUUGUAGUC